This 240-nucleotide ribosomal RNA is filed under the name uncultured bacterium. RNAcentral describes it as "partial 16S ribosomal RNA". It matches the Rfam family "Bacterial small subunit ribosomal RNA", at positions 15 to 244 of the family's 1533-position model. The record is from RNAcentral.
GAUCCUGGCUCAGGAUGAACGCUAGCUACAGGCUUAACACAUGCAAGUCGGGGGGAAACGACAUCGAAAGCUUGCUUCCGAUGGGCGUCGACCGGCGCACGGGUGAGUAACGCGUAUCCAACCUGCCCACCACUUGGGGAUAACCUUGCGAAAGUAAGACUAAUACCCAAUGAUAUCUCUAGAAGUCAUCUGAAAGAGAUUAAAGAUUUAUCGGUGAUGGAUGGGGAUGCGUCUGAUUAG